Molecule: long non-coding RNA, 733 nt
Organism: Bactrocera dorsalis (oriental fruit fly)
Lineage: Eukaryota; Metazoa; Arthropoda; Insecta; Diptera; Tephritidae
Exons: 3
Source: RefSeq, a predicted model, not a curated record
AAUGGCUAAAGUGGGAACGCCAGUUGGAUUUUGGACAUCACGUCGCCCAGGCGUGUAGUAAUAAAUCGGAUUCCUUAGCAGAUAACUGAAGCUCGAAGAAGUUUCCACAAAUAACCCGGUCCACUUCGGGAACCAAUAUAUUGACAAACCUAACAAACUCUGAAUAAAUUGUCAACGUAUGAGCUCUAUAUAAAUACCACGAAUUCGGAUUUUUUACAACAGUUUUAAGCUAUCUACACAUCUUCCAGAAAACUUUGUUAUUUUAUAAAAAUGUCAUCUGCACCAUAUAACGGGUCAUUAAGGGAAAGGGUGGAGCGUUGUUUGGGUUUAGACAAAUGGCAUUUCAACGUCUGUCUGCUGGAGAUAUUAGCAGCAGCGAAUGUCGAAUAUCAAAUCACUUUUGAUGAAAAGGAUAACCAUAUACAAAAACGGGAGUCAGACGAAAUGUUACUUGAUGAAGAAGAUGACGAAAUGACGUUGAGAGUUUUCGGACCAAAACUGUCGAGGAACAAGUCAAGCUUUUCGGAUUGUUGCGAAUAUUUGCAGCAGAUAAAUGAGUGGUUACAAGUUUUUCCCUAGAUACAGAUACAUUUUAUAUUUGUAAAAUAAAAAAAAAACAUUUCGUUUUUCAAAGCCUCGGAGAAAAGCAUUGCAAAUGUAAGAGUAUGUACAUUUAUAUGUAACAUAUUUAGAAAUAAACAAAAUCUUUCUAAAGUAUGCAAAUCGAAUAAAA